Papaver somniferum (opium poppy) is the source of this 2238-nucleotide long non-coding RNA. RefSeq lists it as uncharacterized. The transcript is spliced from 3 exons. Lineage: Eukaryota; Viridiplantae; Streptophyta; Magnoliopsida; Ranunculales; Papaveraceae. The record is from RefSeq and is a predicted model, not a curated record.
AAAAAAAUUCUCACUCAUCCUCCAAAGUCAACUUCUGUUGGACAGAAGCCAUUUUUUUCUUUGGAGGUUCACAGAGAAAAACUCUUACACAUAAUCUUCUACCCGCCAUUAUUAACUACCUUCCUUCCUGAAUCCGAUUGAUGAAGAAAUUUCUAAGUUUUAGAUUUCAAAAUCAGUAAUUUUUAUGUUGGUUAUGUUUUUUGAAUUGUUCGUCUGGAGAUUUGGUAGUGAAGAUCGAUUUCAGAGAUAUCAUCCACGAAGGUGGGUAAACUGUUCCUGCUGCUUCUUGGCACGACAGCUCUUAGCCUGGUGACAACUCUGCUGCUUUUUAAAUUGAUUCCUGCUGGUAUACAUCUCGGAGUUCUCCUGCACUGGUUCUCCCCUGACAGCAGUCAAAUUGAGGUAAUAUUUGCGUCUUCCAUUCACUGCCCUACUUUCCUUUGGAAAACAUGUGGUCCACAGCUAGCCACAUUAUCUGAUAUGGUGUGAACUCACAUGGGAGCACAUGAACCAUAUAUCAUUGCAUAAACCUUGUUUCUAGCUGUCUAAAAUGAUGCUUUGAGCGAAAGAGGAUAUCAUGUGAUUCCCCCUCUAUUCUUUCCACUGUUUUUGAUUUUGAACUAAAUAAGAUUGAUUUUGAUGUAAGAAAAUAUACAGAACAGGUAAGUGCGCAUUGUUUAAUGGCUUGAUAAACUUAGUUAAAAGGCGACUGAUGGUGGCGGCUGAACAACAGUCUGGUAACCCCCAAUUAAACUUAGUUAAACUUUAUAGGCUGUAAGUUGCUGGCCUAACCCACUUCUCGUACACCAACUUAUGCUCCGAUAUGUCUCCUACUCUAAUUAGGAAGUGACUAGUCCUUGAUCUGAAUGCCCAAGUAUUUGGUGGCUUCAGGUGUUUAAAUUUGAUGAUCAAUAUCAGGAUGAUACAUAGGCUUGGUGUUAUAGGUUUGGAGGAAAGAAUUUGGCUGCGAGUGGAGUGAAAAAUUCUAUUGUAGAAGUGCAGAACUGUGAAAUUAGAGCAUCCAUGUGAGCAUUAGCGAACAGUAGGAGAUGCACACUUUUUGGAGGAAGUCUGUGAUUCAUACUGUAGUUGAUCAUCUUGUGGAGUUUAAAGAAUAACCUUGUAUUGUAGAAAAUUUACCAAUCCUAAUUCAUUAAUUUUUCCAAAAGAAACAUCUAGACUUCUAGAAAAAAUUGUUCACAUUGAUUUCAAAUUUCGAAAAACUUGCCUUAUACAAUGAUACAUUAUAAUCAUCUAUAUAUCCAUAAUAAACUUUUUCUCAUAUGAUAUUGUUGCCGUGUUGCGUACUGUAUAAUCUCAAUAAGUAUAUUUUGGGGUUUGAUCUUAUUCUUAUCUCAUUCAUUGCUUUGGUGGGGGCGAUUCCCCAUUUGGCAUUUGCAAAAGAAUUCACUGUGAAACGCAUUGUACGCAUGCCAUUAAUUAAAUAAUAAUAUCUUAGAAUUGAAUGCAAAAUUUUAUACUGGUGCCAUUAAAUAACUCUGGUCGUUCGUAUAAUCCUUAAGAGCCUAACCCCUUUGUAUUCUCCAAUUACUUUACUCUCUAUGGUAAAAAGAGAUAUAUAGAGACAAACAGGGAUCGAGGUUUCAUUAUCUUCAAGCAGCCAUGUUCAAAAGUCAAAAGCAGAAAAAGAAAACUGCAGAGAAAAUGUUAAGAUCAAAAGAUUAUUAUAAAUGUUCAUCUACUGCUGCUAGAUAUCUUUCGAUGUUAACGAUCUUUCUUUUGGUAUUGCUCAUUUUGGUACGUCUCGGCAACAAUCAUGGUGAUAAUGAUGGUCUUCUGGAAUGGUUUCAUAACUUGAACCACCCUCGCCUCUUAUACUAUGCAGAUGAAGCCAUAAGUGAACAUAACGACAGAGCCAAGACAAACUUACGGUUGGAUCACUUGAUUCAUGCGGAGCGAAUCAACAGAGGCAAAGAAUAUCGAGGAAGAGAUGAGGAGUAUAAACUUGUUUUGGUAGCAAUGAACGAAGAAGAAACUAUGACAAAUGCAGAUCCUCCCCGCAGAAAAUAUGAAGUUCAUAUUGAAGUUAAUUGGAUGGGUCCAAGAGAGGGUCCCUUAGUGUAUUUGGUUUCUUUUAAACAAAUCUGUUUCUUAAGAAUUUUUUGUUGAAAGAAAGGUGAUUGCACCUCCAUUGAUUUCAUUCUCAGUUUCAUGAAAUUAAGUCGUGUGGUUUGGUGCAACGGAUGAUGUUUUUGGUAAAUGGGGAUUAAUUUUACA